This is a long non-coding RNA of Peromyscus eremicus (cactus mouse), 1283 nucleotides long. RefSeq lists it as uncharacterized. The record is from RefSeq and is a predicted model, not a curated record. NCBI's taxonomy places the organism in Eukaryota, Metazoa, Chordata, Mammalia, Rodentia, Cricetidae. The transcript is spliced from 4 exons.
CACUUCCAUUUAUGACCUGUAAUUUAACACAGCGGAGAUAUCACUUGCAAUAGUAACUAGGCAGCUGCUUUAUUUCUCAUAGGAAGUAGCCCCUCUCUGUUCUCUAUCUAGUCCUGUGAGAGAUCCAGGAGUUGCAAGCCCUCCUGCCUGGGGGUGAAAGGUGCCACACUUCAUGGUUUGCUCUAUUCCUUGGUGUCAUCAUUGUGACCUCGCAUCUGAGCUGUGAGGUUCAGGACUGUGAUUCUGCCACUCAUCCUUUUGCAGUUCUGCAGAAAGGGACUGAUGUGCACCUGUGCUUUGUAGCAGGAAAUGACUCAAGGAGAGGAAGAAGCUGAAUUCCCCAACAAGGAACAGGGGCUGGAGGACUAAUACAAUAACCAGUGAAUUGUGAUAGACUGUGCAAUGGGAACUGGUCAUCUCAACUCUCUUCCUAUUUUAUUGGUGUUAUCUUACUCUGGGUAAAUCAUCAAAAUAAUAAGAGCUGGAGUUACAGGCUGGUGAGCUGCCACACAGGUCCUCUGCAAGAGCAGACUGAACCUAAUCAAUGAGAACUUUUCUACUUUCACCUCUUCCCCACUGCCCUCUAGCUGCCCUAAGCUAGAGGAAAUGUUUGCUUUCAUAUAGCAUUUCAUCUCUAAAAUUACUUAGCUGUGCAUUCUUCCUCCAAUAAAUACUUUAACUCUCCGAAAGUAGUUACCAUCAACCGGAAGCCAGCACAGAAACAUGUGAUGAAAUUAAAUUACAAGAAGGCUUAAAUAAAUGAAGGCCUUUUAGCAAAAAUCAUGUACACUUCUGUACAAAUCUAUGUGUAUACAUAAAAGACAUGUAGCAGGCCAGCUGUGAGGAUACAGGCCUGGGGAACCUGAAAAGAGUAAGUAGGAUGGCCAUAGCUCCUGGCCAGCUGGAGCUACACAUACAGGAGUAUACAUGACUUUUCCUCAGAUGAUCCUAUUAGAUCAAAUGAAUCAGUACAAUCUUGUGAAACAUAAUAAACUGGAAGGAAGAACUCAACCUCGAGGAGCUUUGUUCCUCCAGAAAGAAUAACCACCUGAGAUAUCUUCCUCAGAAGCUGGCUUCCAGAAAAAGCUUAAGCUCAUCCUCAACUUCUGUAUCUACGGAUUCUGCAAAUGUCCAACUUUUAAAAUACAAAUCAAUGCAAGGGCAAGGGGAAAGAGUUCUGACUGUAGUAGCAACAAUGCAGAGCUAACUAAAUCAGGAAGGACCUCCCUGUAAAAAUGUAGCUACAGUACUCAGAUGAGUUGGGGUUUUAGUGUAGUCUUCCU